This 322-nucleotide ribosomal RNA is filed under the name uncultured eukaryote. RNAcentral describes it as "partial 18S ribosomal RNA". It matches the Rfam family "Eukaryotic small subunit ribosomal RNA", at positions 1470 to 1796 of the family's 1831-position model. The record is from RNAcentral.
CCCUUAGAUGUUCUGGGCCGCACGCGUGCUACACUGAGUGGAUCAGCGGGUCAGGUUGCGCGAAAGUGUUUCAUAAUCUUGAAAUCCGCUCGUGAUGGGGAUUGACGGUUGCAAUUUUCCGUCAUGAACGAGGAAUACCUUGUAAGCGCGGGUCAUCAUCCCGCGCUGAAUACGUCCCUGCCCUUUGUACACACCGCCCGUCGCUCCUACCGAUUGAGUGGUCCGGUGAGGCUUUGGGAUCUGAGCGGAAAGAGCGUUUCGCUGUUUCUGCUCGGAAAACUCAGUCGAACCUUAUCAUUUAGAGGAAGGAGAAGUCGUAACA